GACGAACGCUGGCGGCGUGCUUAACACAUGCAAGUCGAACGAUGAAGCCGGAGCUUGCUCUGGUGAAUUAGUGGCGAACGGGUGAGUAACACGUGAGUAACCUGCCCUUGACUCUGGGAUAACUGCUAGAAAUGGUAGCUAAUACCGGAUACGACCCUCGGAGGCAUCUCCAGGGGGUGGAAAGAAUUUCGGUCAAGGACGGACUCGCGGCCUAUCAGCUAGUUGGUGAGGUAACGGCCCACCAAGGCGACGACGGGUAGCCGGCCUGAGAGGGUGGCCGGCCACACUGGGACUGAGACACGGCCCAGACUCCUACGGGAGGCAGCAGUGGGGAAUAUUGCACAAUGGGCGCAAGCCUGAUGCAGCAACGCCGCGUGAGGGAUGACGGCCUUCGGGUUGUAAACCUCUUUUAGUAGGGAAGAAGCGAAAGUGACGGUACCUGCAGAAAAAGCACCGGCUAACUACGUGCCAGCCGCCGCCGUAA
RNAcentral lists this ribosomal RNA (484 nucleotides) under uncultured bacterium. RNAcentral describes it as "partial 16S ribosomal RNA". It matches the Rfam family "Bacterial small subunit ribosomal RNA", at positions 28 to 523 of the family's 1533-position model. The record is from RNAcentral.